UAUCCCUAUGAUGAUUUAUAAUCAUUAAAGUAGUGGACUGAAUUUCCUUGAAGAAAAUGAAGUCAGAGGGAUU
Non-coding RNA from Cicer arietinum (chickpea), 73 nucleotides. NCBI's taxonomy places the organism in Eukaryota, Viridiplantae, Streptophyta, Magnoliopsida, Fabales, Fabaceae. The record is from Rfam.